Molecule: transfer RNA, 69 nt
Filed under: Ictidomys tridecemlineatus (thirteen-lined ground squirrel)
Lineage: Eukaryota; Metazoa; Chordata; Mammalia; Rodentia; Sciuridae
Description: Spermophilus tridecemlineatus (thirteen-lined ground squirrel) tRNA
Rfam family: tRNA
About the family: Transfer RNA (tRNA) molecules are approximately 80 nucleotides in length. Their secondary structure includes four short double-helical elements and three loops (D, anti-codon, and T loops). Further hydrogen bonds mediate the characteristic L-shaped molecular structure. tRNAs have two regions of fundamental functional importance: the anti-codon, which is responsible for specific mRNA codon recognition, and the 3' end, to which the tRNAs corresponding amino acid is attached (by aminoacyl-tRNA synthetases). tRNAs cope with the degeneracy of the genetic code in two manners: having more than one tRNA (with a specific anti-codon) for a particular amino acid; and 'wobble' base-pairing, i.e. permitting non-standard base-pairing at the 3rd anti-codon position.
Source: Rfam by way of RNAcentral
GGGAAUGUAGCUCAGUGGUAGAGCACUUGCCUUCCAUGUGUGAGGCUUUGGGUUUGAACCUCAGCGCCA